GACAUGCUGGGCACCCCCAGCCAGUCGAGGCCCCGGGUGGCCGCCCGACGAGUCGGUGCUGGACUGGCGCGAGUGCGAGCCCGAAUCAGGCUCCUUAAAGAAAGACUCCGGCAGGAUCUUCUUCCGCCACGAGCUAGGCUUCGGAUUCAUGACAGAGUUGAAGAGGGCUUCGAGGUCUGUGUCUAGGUCCUGCGUGACGUGGAUCACUUGCUGCCCAGGCGGCGGGAGCGGAGGGGGCGCCGAGGCCGGAUUCAUCUUCUGCAAAAAGAAGGAUGGCAAAGGAAAGGUCGCACGAUUCCAGGACAGGCAGCCCCCCGAAAGAAGUUCAGCCCGAGCCAACUCCACCACGUCUCGACUCCGGAAGCCCGAGGAGCCUGGAGCCCUGGAGUGGUGCCGGAUGAGCGCGCGAGCUCCAGCGGGCACUACCUGGGCGGGCAGCGAAGCUGAGCCUGAGCGCGCGGCGGCCGC
This 468-nucleotide long non-coding RNA is filed under the name Homo sapiens (human). RNAcentral's name for it is "WWTR1 antisense RNA 1". The record is from RNAcentral. Lineage: Eukaryota; Metazoa; Chordata; Mammalia; Primates; Hominidae.